Molecule: transfer RNA, 72 nt
Filed under: Phrynosoma platyrhinos (Desert horned lizard)
Lineage: Eukaryota; Metazoa; Chordata; Lepidosauria; Squamata; Phrynosomatidae
Description: tRNA-OTHER
Source: RNAcentral
GCCAAAGUAGUGUAGUGUUUUGAGUGCUGGACUAGGACUCUGGAGACCAGGAUUCAAAUCCCUGCUCAGCCA